Helianthus annuus (common sunflower) is the source of this 862-nucleotide long non-coding RNA. RefSeq lists it as uncharacterized. The transcript has 3 exons. The record is from RefSeq and is a predicted model, not a curated record. Lineage: Eukaryota; Viridiplantae; Streptophyta; Magnoliopsida; Asterales; Asteraceae.
ACCUACUAAGUUGACUAGGAAUAAUUCUAACCUAGUUAGAUAGUGACUUAUGAGUGGGUUAAAACACUUAAAUUAUGAACUAAGGAAAAUGGAGGGGCCAAACUUGUUAAACUUGAAACUUGAUUUAUUAAAAACAAAUUAAAACACACCAAAUACACACAAGAGUGUGUGUCUGGUCGUUCAAACACAGGGGGCGACACAAGGGAUCCCACAAACCCUAGUUCUUCCAAAAAUCCACCAAAUUGAGAGCUCAAAUUCAUUCUAAAUCAAUUCUCAAACACAAUUUCGUGAUCUCCAUUGAAAGGGGAGUCAUAAGUUUGACUCCUAACGAGCUAGAUGGAAGCUUGUGGAUGAAGCGGGUCAAACGGAGCAAGUACGGAAAGAAAAGCGUGGCAUGGAUGCAAGGAUGAACGGCUCGGGAAUUAGUGAAGCUAUGAAAUAGCAAAUAAAUGAAGACAAGGUAUUAAAAUGGGUCAAUAUGUUGAUCCGAGCCAGGUACGCAUAAUUAUGUUGUGGUUAAAAGUGUUAUUUUUGGUCAAAUAAUUAGUGAGAGACUUCGUCUUAAAAUAAGAGACUAGAAUUGACCAAAAAGCCCUUGAUGGGUAAAUCGGGUAAACGACCGUUAGAGUUUGUUUAGAAACUUGUUUAUUGAUUUUGAAACCCUUAGAUACAUAUAAAAAGUAUAGGCAAAAACGUUUGCGGGUCAAAGUAGACUAAGAAGUAAAUUGUGGUUAAAUGCUUAGAUAGAUACAAAUGAAUCGGUGAAUGUGAACACCUACGUAAACUCUAGGAUGGGAGCGAAAACGUUAAGGUUUGACAAGCCCGGGAUGGGUAAAAUGAUAUGAAUUAACCAUUUUCUUUU